UACAGAGGGUGCGAGCGUUGUUCGGAAUUAUUGGGCGUAAAGGGCGCGUAGGCGGUCUGUCGCGUCGGCUGUGAAAUCCCGGAGCUCAACUCCGGGCCUGCAGUCGAUACGGGCAGACUGGAGUUCGGCAGGGGAGACUGGAAUUCCUGGUGUAGCGGUGAAAUGCGCAGAUAUCAGGAGGAACACCUGUGGUGUAGACAGCUUACUGGACCAUUUCUGACGCUGAGACACGAAAGCGUGGGUAGCAAACAGG
Molecule: ribosomal RNA, 253 nt
Filed under: uncultured bacterium
Lineage: Bacteria
Description: partial 16S ribosomal RNA
Rfam family: Bacterial small subunit ribosomal RNA
Source: RNAcentral